GUAAAGACAAAAAUUUUAAUAAAGCAACCAGAAGGUGCAAAUGAGGUUCAUGCUUUAUCCAAAAAUAGAUAGGCACAUGCACACAUUGGAGCAUAUACCAGGGCCGGAGCUAGAAAUUCAUUCUUAGGAGGCCAAAAAUAAAUACUAAAAAGAAAAUAAAUGAAAUCUUGAUAAAAAUAUUAGGACUAAAAUAAAAUAUAA
This 201-nucleotide unclassified non-coding RNA is filed under the name Hevea brasiliensis (rubber tree). Lineage: Eukaryota; Viridiplantae; Streptophyta; Magnoliopsida; Malpighiales; Euphorbiaceae. The record is from RNAcentral.